GACGAACCGUGCAAACGUUGUUCGGAAUCACUGGGCUUAAAGGGCGCGUAGGCGGGCUCCCAAGUCGGUGGUGAAAUCUUUCGGCCCAACCGGAAAAGUGCCGCCGAUACUGGGAGCCUCGAGGGAGGUAGGGGUCGAGGGAACUUCCGGUGGAGCGGUGAAAUGCGUAGAUAUCGGAAGGAACGCCGGUGGCGAAAGCGCUCGACUGGACCUCUUCUGACGCUGAGGCGCGAAAGCCAGGGGAGCAAACGGG
This 253-nucleotide ribosomal RNA is filed under the name uncultured bacterium. Its description in RNAcentral is "partial 16S ribosomal RNA". It matches the Rfam family "Bacterial small subunit ribosomal RNA", at positions 524 to 776 of the family's 1533-position model. The record is from RNAcentral.